Molecule: ribosomal RNA, 253 nt
Filed under: uncultured bacterium
Lineage: Bacteria
Description: partial 16S ribosomal RNA
Rfam family: Bacterial small subunit ribosomal RNA
Source: RNAcentral
UACGUAGGGUGCGAGCGUUAAUCGGAAUUACUGGGCGUAAAACGUGCGCAGGCGGUUUUGUAAGCCAGAUGUGAAAUCCCCGGGCUUAACCUGGGAAUGGCAUUUGGGACUGCAAGGCUUGAGUGCGGCAGAGGAGACUGGAAUUCCUGGUGUAGCAGUGAAAUGCGUAGAUAUCAGGAGGAAUACCGAUGGCGAAGGCAGGUCUCUGGGCUGACACUGACGCUCAUGCACGAAAGCGUGGGGAGCAAACAGG